UACACUCCUACGGGAGGCAGCAGUGGGGAAUUUUGGACAAUGGGCGAAAGCCUGAUCCAGCAAUGCCGCGUGAGUGAAGAAGGCCUUCGGGUUGUAAAGCUCUUUUGUCAGGGAAGAAACGGUGAAAGCUAAUAUCUUUUGCUAAUGACGGUACCUGAAGAAUAAGCACCGGCUAACUACGUGCCAGCAGCCGCGGUAAUACGUAGGGUGCAAGCGUUAAUCGGAAUUACUGGGCGUAAAGCGUGCGCAGGCGGUUUUGUAAGUCUGAUGUGAAAUCCCCGGGCUCAACCUGGGAAUUGCAUUGGAGACUGCAAGGCUAGAAUCUGGCAGAGGGGGGUAGAAUUCCACGUGUAGCAGUGAAAUGCGUAGAUAUGUGGAGGAACACCGAUGGCGAAGGCAGCCCCCUGGGUCAAGAUUGACGCUCAUGCACGAAAGCGUGGGGAGCAAACAGGAUUAGAUACCCCUGUAGUCCCAUG
RNAcentral lists this ribosomal RNA (476 nucleotides) under uncultured organism. Its description in RNAcentral is "partial 16S ribosomal RNA". It matches the Rfam family "Bacterial small subunit ribosomal RNA", at positions 332 to 799 of the family's 1533-position model. The record is from RNAcentral.